AGAGUUUGAUCCUGGCUCAGGACGAACGCUGGCGGUGUGCCUAAAACAUGCAAGUCGAACGAGAUCUUCGGAUCUAGUGGCGAACGGCGGAGUAAGACAUGAGCAACGUGCCCUGAAGUCUGGGAUAUACAGAGGAAACUCUGGGUAAUACCGGAUGUGUCGCGAGGAGGUCAUCCUUCUUGCGGUAAACGGAUUUAUUCGCUUCAGGAGCGGCUCAUGCCCCAUCAGGUAGUUGGUAGGGUAAUGGCCUACCAAGCCGACGACGGGUAGCGGGUCUGAGAGGAUGAUCCGCCCGAGUGGGACUGAGACACGGCCCACACACCUACGGGUGGCAGCAGUUGGGAAUCUUGCACAAUGGGGGAAACCCUGAUGCAGCGACACCGCGUGGAGGAUGACGGAUCUAGGUCUGUAAACUCCUUUUGCCAAGAAAGACUUAGGACGGUACUUGGCGAAUAAGCUCCGGCUAACUACGUGCCAGCAGCCGCGGUAAUACGUAGGGAGCGAGCGUUGUCCGGAUUUACUGGGCGUAAAGGGCGCGUAGGCGGCCUGUUAAGUGUGGUGUGAAAUCUCUGGGCUCAACCCAGAAACUGCACCGCAUACUGGCAGGCUAGAGAGAUGCAGAGGUAAGUAGAAUUCCUGGUGUAACGGUGACAUGUGUAGAUAUCAGGAGGAAUACCGAUGGCGAAGGCAGCUUACUGGGCAUUUUCUGACGCUGAGGCGCGAAAGCGUGGGUAGCAAACAGAAUUAGAUACCCUGGUAGUCC
This 763-nucleotide ribosomal RNA is filed under the name uncultured bacterium. RNAcentral's name for it is "bacterial SSU rRNA". It matches the Rfam family "Bacterial small subunit ribosomal RNA", at positions 8 to 796 of the family's 1533-position model. The record is from RNAcentral.